CAGAUGUAAAAUAAAAAUAAAAAUAAAUUACAUCUCCUUUUAGGAGGCACGUAGGCCUCUCAAAACAUCAAAUAAGAUGCAUGCAAGCAUCUGAAAAAUUACAUGACAUCGCAGAUCACAUCGCAGGUCAUUACAUUUGAUACCAAAAGGGUUUGAAUCCUAUGAUCAUCACCAUAUGCAACAAUUAUAACUUUCAGAUCUGAUAAUUAAUUGAUUAUCUCAUGACAUAGGUUGUUGAUCAUGCUAAUCAUGAUUCUAAACUUUGUAAUCACAUUAACAAUGCUAUUAGAAUCAUCCUUUUAUCAUAUAAAAAUUAGCAUGUAAAAAUCAGCAC
This 334-nucleotide long non-coding RNA is filed under the name Phoenix dactylifera (date palm). RNAcentral describes it as "long non-coding RNA (PDAC_LNC017968)". The record is from RNAcentral. Lineage: Eukaryota; Viridiplantae; Streptophyta; Magnoliopsida; Arecales; Arecaceae.